GUUUGUUUGUUGUUUGUUUGUUGUUUGUUUUUUUGUUUGUUUGUUGUUUGUUUGUUGUUUGUUUGUUGUUUGUUUGUUUGUUGUUUGUUGUUUGUUUGUUGUUUGUUUGUUGUUUGUUGUUUGUUUGUUUGUUUGUUUGUUGUUUGUUUGUUUGUUGUUUGUUGUUUGUUGUUUGUUGUUUGUUUGUUGUUUGUUUGUUGUUUGUUUGUUGUUUGUUGUUUGUUUGUUGUUUGUUUGUUGUUUGUUGUUUGUUUGUUGUUUGUUUGUUGUUGUUUGUUUGUUGUUUGUUUGUUGUUUGUUUGUUGUUUGUUGUUUGUUUGUUUGUUUGUUUGUUUGUUUGUUUGUUUGUUUGUUUGUUUGUUUGUUUGUUUGUUUGUUUGUUUGUUUGUUUGUUUGUUGUUUGUUGUUUGUUGUUUGUUGUUUGUUUGUUUGUUUGUUUGUUGUUUGUUUGUUGUUUGUUGUUUGUUUGUUGUUUGUUUGUUGUUUGUUGUUUGUUGUUUGUUUGUUGUUUGUUUGUUGUUUGUUUGUUGUUUGUUUGUUGUUUGUUUGUUGUUUGUUUGUUGUUUGUUUGUUGU
This is a non-coding RNA of Paramuricea clavata, 575 nucleotides long. Lineage: Eukaryota; Metazoa; Cnidaria; Anthozoa; Malacalcyonacea; Plexauridae. The record is from the annotation of a GenBank genome assembly.